RNAcentral lists this unclassified non-coding RNA (337 nucleotides) under Hevea brasiliensis (rubber tree). The record is from RNAcentral. Lineage: Eukaryota; Viridiplantae; Streptophyta; Magnoliopsida; Malpighiales; Euphorbiaceae.
CUCGCUGUCGAGGAUUGCCAUUGGAUUGUCACCAUGGCCCAAAGUAUGAGAUCCGGUAAAAACAUGGGUCGUAAGAUUCUCGCUGCUUUGACGUUGAUAGUGAUCAUUUCGGUGUUCCUCAAGGUCUCCUUCGUGCAUCAUCACGUCGAGAAACAAAGAGAGACCGGUCUUGUGAUCCGAAAGACAUUCAAAGAAGAUUGGGCUAUGGCUCAACGUGUUGUUGCCGAAAACGCAGCCUCCAUGCCCAAGCGCGUUUUGGAGAAAUACCCUACACCAGAAAUUUGGAUGAAACCAAAUAGUCACAAUUACUACCAAUGCAUCCCCCGUACUAGAAGUC